Hydra vulgaris (swiftwater hydra) is the source of this 643-nucleotide long non-coding RNA. RefSeq lists it as uncharacterized. The record is from RefSeq and is a predicted model, not a curated record. Lineage: Eukaryota; Metazoa; Cnidaria; Hydrozoa; Anthoathecata; Hydridae.
UGUUUGAAACAGCAGUUAACAUUAAUCGAAACUAAGUUUUCUUAUCAAAAGGCAAUUUUAUACCAACAACUUGCUGACAAAAAUUAUGCAAUUCUUGUACUGCAAAAUGACAUUGAUACUGAUUUUACAGGAAGAGUUGGAGGAAAUUCAGCAAGUAACACAAAACACCAAAACUCAAAAACACUACUCAGCAGAUAUUAGAACACUUAUAUACGAUAUGCUUGUGUGUUAAGUUCCUGGUUUCAUUCACUACACAAUUCAUUUUCUACACAAUUCUGCAAUACAAACUUCGCUACAAGGAUGCAAAAGUGAUCCAAAGGGUUUUGGGUUCUUUUUGGACCAACACGAGUUGCCCAGAACAUUGCUACCACGCUAUAGAGGGAACAGAAUACAUAUGCUUUUUCACACAUGUGGUACUUUGAUCUAUAAUUAUUCCAUAUUGAAGAUAUUUUUGUGUUCUGGCUUGACAUUAUGUGAAUGUCUGCAAAAUGGUUUGUUUCAAGACUUUACAUCUGAAACAGGAAAUCAUUCUCCUCUUCUCUAUUUUGUAAUGGGUUUUUCAGUUAUUGUGUUAAAUAUCUAAUGUAUUUUUAUUUAUCUGUUAUUUCAAGAUUUUAACUAAUAGCAUGCUAAAAGAUUGCAA